Molecule: long non-coding RNA, 260 nt
Filed under: Salvia miltiorrhiza (redroot sage)
Lineage: Eukaryota; Viridiplantae; Streptophyta; Magnoliopsida; Lamiales; Lamiaceae
Description: long non-coding RNA (SMIL_LNC013775)
Source: RNAcentral
GUGUAGAUUACGUUAGUUAGCUUUUGUGAGAUUAUGUAUUAAUUUAUUAAUGGUUGAAUAUUCUGUCUUUUGGCUGGCUUGAGUAUUCAAUGCGUUAAGGUCUUUUACAGCCUCUGUCUUAAUAUAUAUAAUUCAACUUUAUCUUCGCUAUUUAUGAUUUCUGCCGCAUUUCGUUAUUCUAUUUAUAUUUUGGAACGCCAAUAGUUUAGAAGUUUUCUUCUUGCUUCGUAUUUUUUAUUAAUUGGGAGAUUUCUUUUGGC